RNAcentral lists this ribosomal RNA (473 nucleotides) under Salmonella enterica. Its description in RNAcentral is "bacterial SSU rRNA". It matches the Rfam family "Bacterial small subunit ribosomal RNA", at positions 1049 to 1522 of the family's 1533-position model. The record is from RNAcentral. Lineage: Bacteria; Pseudomonadati; Pseudomonadota; Gammaproteobacteria; Enterobacterales; Enterobacteriaceae. RNAcentral also lists the same sequence under 1 other name.
CUGUCGUCAGCUCGUGUUGUGAAAUGUUGGGUUAAGUCCCGCAACGAGCGCAACCCUUAUCCUUUGUUGCCAGCGGUUAGGCCGGGAACUCAAAGGAGACUGCCAGUGAUAAACUGGAGGAAGGUGGGGAUGACGUCAAGUCAUCAUGGCCCUUACGACCAGGGCUACACACGUGCUACAAUGGCGCAUACAAAGAGAAGCGACCUCGCGAGAGCAAGCGGACCUCAUAAAGUGCGUCGUAGUCCGGAUUGGAGUCUGCAACUCGACUCCAUGAAGUCGGAAUCGCUAGUAAUCGUGGAUCAGAAUGCCACGGUGAAUACGUUCCCGGGCCUUGUACACACCGCCCGUCACACCAUGGGAGUGGGUUGCAAAAGAAGUAGGUAGCUUAACCUUCGGGAGGGCGCUUACCACUUUGUGAUUCAUGACUGGGGUGAAGUCGUAACAAGGUAACCGUAGGGGAACCUGCGGUUGGA